GGGGAUAUAGCUCAGUGGUAGAGUGCUUUCCUAGUGUGCAUGAAUCCCUAGGUUUGAUUCCCAGUACCCA
Molecule: transfer RNA, 70 nt
Filed under: Ictidomys tridecemlineatus (thirteen-lined ground squirrel)
Lineage: Eukaryota; Metazoa; Chordata; Mammalia; Rodentia; Sciuridae
Description: Spermophilus tridecemlineatus (thirteen-lined ground squirrel) tRNA
Rfam family: tRNA
About the family: Transfer RNA (tRNA) molecules are approximately 80 nucleotides in length. Their secondary structure includes four short double-helical elements and three loops (D, anti-codon, and T loops).
Source: Rfam by way of RNAcentral